AUUGAACGCUGGCGGCAUGCCUUACACAUGCAAGUCGAACGAGGGUAGCAAUACCUUGGUGGCGAACGGGUGAGUAAUAUAUCGGAACGUACCCUAGAGUGGGGGACAACCAGUCGAAAGACUGGCUAAUACCGCAUACGAUCUCUGGAUGAAAGUGGGGGACCGCAAGGCCUCACGCUCCUGGAGCGGCCGAUAUCUGAUUAGCUAGUUGGUAGGGUAAAAGCCUACCAAGGCAUCGAUCAGUAGCUGGUCUGAGAGGACAAUCAGCCACACUGGGACUGAGACACGGCCCAGACUCCUACGGGAGGCAGCAGUGGGGAAUUUUGGACAAUGGGGGAAACCCUGAUCCAGCAAUGCCGCGUGAGUGAAGAAGGCCUUCGGGUUGUAAAGCUCUUUUGUCAGGGAAGAAAAGGCUAUGGCUAAUAUCCAUGGCUGAUGACGGUACCUGAAGAAUAAGCACCGGCUAACUACGUGCCAGCCGCCGCGGUAA
This 490-nucleotide ribosomal RNA is filed under the name uncultured bacterium. Its description in RNAcentral is "partial 16S ribosomal RNA". It matches the Rfam family "Bacterial small subunit ribosomal RNA", at positions 30 to 523 of the family's 1533-position model. The record is from RNAcentral.